RNAcentral lists this ribosomal RNA (427 nucleotides) under uncultured bacterium. RNAcentral describes it as "partial 16S ribosomal RNA". It matches the Rfam family "Bacterial small subunit ribosomal RNA", at positions 355 to 774 of the family's 1533-position model. The record is from RNAcentral.
UGGGGAAUAUUGCACAAUGGGCGCAAGCCUGAUGCAGCCAUGCCGCGUGUAUGAAGAAGGCCUUCGGGUUGUAAAGUACUUUCAGCGAGGAGGAAGGCGUUGUGGUUAAUAACCGCAGCGAUUGACGUUACUCGCAGAAGAAGCACCGGCUAACUCCGUGCCAGCAGCCGCGGUAAUACGGAGGGUGCAAGCGUUAAUCGGAAUUACUGGGCGUAAAGCGCACGCAGGCGGUCUGUCAAGUCGGAUGUGAAAUCCCCGGGCUCAACCUGGGAACUGCAUCCGAAACUGGCAGGCUAGAGUCUUGUAGAGGGGGGUAGAAUUCCAGGUGUAGCGGUGAAAUGCGUAGAGAUCUGGAGGUAUACCGGUGGCGAAGGCGGCCCCCUGGACAAAGACUGACGCUCAGGUGCGAAAGCGUGGGGAGCAAACA